AUGCGAUAAGUAGUGUGAAUUGCAGAAUUCAGUGAAUCAUCGAAUCUUUGAACGCACAUUGCGCCCCUCGGUAUUCCGUGGGGCAUGCCUGUUCGAGCGUCAUCUACACCCUCAAGCUCUGCUUGGUGUUGGGCGUCUGUCCCGCCUCCGCGCGUGGACUCGCCCCAAAUACAUUGGCAGCGGUCUUUGCCUCCUCUCGCGCAGCACAUUGCGCUUCUUGAGGUGUCGCGGACACGCGUCCAGUAAGCAACAUUUACCGUCUUUGACCUCGGAUCAGGUAGGGAUACCCGCUGAACUUAA
This 300-nucleotide unclassified non-coding RNA is filed under the name uncultured Pseudopithomyces. RNAcentral's name for it is "partial contains 5.8S ribosomal RNA, internal transcribed spacer 2, and large subunit ribosomal RNA". The stretch from base 1 to 102 matches the Rfam family "5.8S ribosomal RNA", at positions 53 to 154 of the family's 154-position model. Lineage: Eukaryota; Fungi; Ascomycota; Dothideomycetes; Pleosporales; Didymosphaeriaceae. The record is from RNAcentral.